CCUACGGGAGGCAGCAGUGAGGAAUUUUGCGCAAUGGGGGAAACCCUGACGCAGCAACGCCGCGUGAGUGAUGAAGGCCUUCGGGUCGUAAAGCUCUGUCAAGUGGGAAGAACCUGCUCUGUGAUAACACCAUGGGGCACCGACGGUACCACUGAAGGAAGCACCGGCUAACUCCGUGCCAGCAGCCGCGGUAAUACGGGGGGUGCUAGCGUUAUUCGGAAUCAUUGGGCGUAAAGGGCGCGUAGGCGGUCUUUUAAGUCAGAUGUGAAAGCCCUCGGCUUAACCGAGGAAGUGCAUUUGAUACUAAGAGACUUGAGUAUGGGAGAGGGAAGCGGAAUUCCUGGUGUAGCGGUGAAAUGCGUAGAUAUCAGGAGGAACACCGGUGGCGAAGGCGGCUUCCUGGACCAAUACUGACGCUGAGGCGCGAAGGCGUGGGGAGCAAACAGGAUUAGAUACCCUGGUAGUCCACGCAGUAAACGGUGAACACUAGGUGUAGCGGGUAUUGACCCCUGCUGUGCCGAAGCUAACGCAUUAAGUGUUCCGCCUGGGAAGUACGGCCGCAAGGUUAAAACUCAAAGGAAUUGACGG
RNAcentral lists this ribosomal RNA (588 nucleotides) under uncultured bacterium. RNAcentral's name for it is "bacterial SSU rRNA". It matches the Rfam family "Bacterial small subunit ribosomal RNA", at positions 338 to 916 of the family's 1533-position model. The record is from RNAcentral.